UUAAGUGAAUAAGGGCGCACGGUGGAUGCCUUGGCACUAGGAGCCGACGAAGGACGUAACGAACGACGAUACGCUUUGGGGAGUGGUAAGUACACUUUGAUCCAGAGAUUUCCGAAUGGGGGAACCCAGCAUCUUUUAUAGGAUGUUAUCCAUGAGUGAAUACAUAGCUCAUGAGAAGGUAGACGCAGAGAACUGAAACAUCUAAGUACCUGCAGGAAGAGAAAGCAAACGCGAUUUCCUUAGUAGCGGCGAGCGAAACGGAAAGAGGCCAAACCAAGAAGCUUGCUUCUUGGGGUUGUAGGACUCAGCUGUGGUAGCUGUAUUUUAUAGACGAAGUUUCUGGAAAGAAACACCGUAGGGGGUAAUAGUCCCGUAGUCGAAAUAAAGUGCACACCUAUGAGUAUCCUGAGUACGGCUAGACACGAGAAAUCUAGUCGGAAUCCGGGAGGACCAUCUCCCAAGCCUAAAUACUCCCUAGUGACCGAUAGUGAACCAGUACCGUGAGGGAAAGGUGAAAAGCACCCCGGAAGGGGAGUGAAAUAGAACCUGAAACCGUGUGCCUACAACAAGUUCGAGCUCGUUAAUGAGUGAGAGCGUGCCUUUUGUAGAAUGAACCGGCGAGUUACGAUUGCAUGCAAGGUUAAGUUGAAGAAACGGAGCCGUAGCGAAAGCGAGUCUUAAUAGGGCGUCUAGUAUGUAGUCGUAGACCCGAAACCAGGUGAUCUAGCCAUGGCCAGGUUGAAGUUUAGGUAACACUAAAUGGAGGACCGAACCUACGCACGUUGAAAAGUGCGAGGAUGAGCUGUGGUUAGGGGUGAAAUUCCAAUCGAACCUGGAGAUAGCUGGUUCUCCCCGAAAUAGCUUUAGGGCUAGCCUUGAUUGAAGUCUUUUGGAGGUAGAGCACUGAAUGUAUGAUGGCCCCGUCUUGGGGUACUGAGUAUAAUCAAACUCCGAAUGCCAAAAAGAUAUGAUCAGGAGUCAGACAGUGGGUGAUAAGGUCCAUUGUCGAAAGGGAAACAGCCCAGAUCACCAGCUAAGGUCCCAAAGUAUAUGCUAAGUGGAAAAGGAUGUAGAGUUGCACAGACAGCUAGGAGGUUGGCUUAGAAGCAGCCAUCCUUCAAAGAGUGCGUAACAGCUCACUAGUCGAGUGACUCUGCGCCGAAAAUUUACCGGGGCUAAGCAUAACACCGAAGCUGUGGACAGAAAUGUGGUAGGGGAGCGUUCUAAUUGAGAAGAAGCCAUACCGUAAGGAGUGAGUGGAUUGAUUAGAAGUGAGAAUGCCGGUGUGAGUAGCGAAUUAGGGUGAGAAUCCCUAACACCGAUUGACUAAGGAUUCCUGGGUAAAGCUCGUCUUCCCAGGGUAAGUCGGGACCUAAGGCGAGGCCGAGAGGCGUAGUCGAUGGACAGCAGGUAGAGAUUCCUGCACCUCUAAUAAGAGUGAUGGAGUGACAAAGAAGGCUAGUCUGCGCUAGCGAUUGGAUGUUAGUUGGCUAUGAUAGAAGGGACAUUGGCAAAUCCGUGUCUAGGAUUCAAACAUAGUCGAGAUACACUUUCGGGUGUAGAACAGAUGACGCCAGCUUUCAAGAAAAGCUUCUAGCAUAUUUUAUUAGAGCCCGUACCGAGAACGAACACACGUAGUCAGGUAGAGAAUACCAAGGUGAGCAAGAGAACCAUUGUUAAGGAACUCGGCAAAAUGACUCCGUAACUUAGGGAGAAGGAGUGCUUAGCGCAAGCUAAGCCGCAGUGAAUAGGCCCAAGCGACUGUUUACCAAAAACACAGCUCUCUGCAAAGUCGCAAGACGAAGUAUAGGGGGUGACGCCUGCCCGGUGCUGGAAGGUUAAGGGGAAAUGUUAGCGUAAGCGAGGCAUAGAACCGAAGCCCCAGUAAACGGCGGCCGUAACUAUAACGGUCCUAAGGUAGCGAAAUUCCUUGUCGGGUAAGUUCCGACCCGCACGAAAGGCGUAACGAUCUGGGCACUGUCUCAACAAGGGACUCGGUGAAAUCAUAGUACCUGUGAAGAUGCAGGUUACCCGCGACAGGACGGAAAGACCCCGUGGAGCUUUACUGCAGCUUGAUAUUGAACUUCGGCAGUGCAUGUACAGGAUAGGUAGGAGGCAAGGAAACCGGGACGCCAGUCUCGGAGGAGCCGCUGUUGGGAUACUACCCUUGUGCUGUUGGGGUUCUAACCCGCAACCGUUAACCGGUUGGGGGACAGUGUCAGGCGGGCAGUUUGACUGGGGCGGUCGCCUCCCAAAGCGUAACGGAGGCGCCCAAAGGUUCCCUCAGAAUGGUUGGAAAUCAUUCGAAGAGUGCAAAGGCAGAAGGGAGCUUGACUGCGAGACCAACAAGUCGAGCAGGGACGAAAGUCGGGCUUAGUGAUCCGGCGGUACCGAAUGGAAGGGCCGUCGCUCAACGGAUAAAAGCUACCCCGGGGAUAACAGGCUGAUCUCCCCCAAGAGUUCACAUCGACGGGGAGGUUUGGCACCUCGAUGUCGGCUCAUCGCAUCCUGGGGCUGUAGUCGGUCCCAAGGGUUGGGCUGUUCGCCCAUUAAAGCGGUACGCGAGCUGGGUUCAGAACGUCGUGAGACAGUUCGGUCCCUAUCCGUCGUGGGCGCAGGAAAUUUGAGAGGAGCUGUCCUUAGUACGAGAGGACCGGGAUGGACACACCGCUGGUGUACCAGUUGUUCCGCCAGGGGCAUGGCUGGGUAGCUACGUGUGGCAGGGAUAAACGCUGAAAGCAUCUAAGCGUGAAGCCCCCCUCAAGAUGAGAUUUCCCACUGUUUACAGUUAAGAUCCCUCGCAGACGACGAGGUGGAUAGGCCAGGAGUGGAAGUGCGGCGACGCAUGCAGCGGACUGGUACUAAUCGAUCGAGGACUUAACCAC
RNAcentral lists this ribosomal RNA (2885 nucleotides) under termite gut metagenome. RNAcentral's name for it is "bacterial LSU rRNA". It matches the Rfam family "Bacterial large subunit ribosomal RNA". The record is from RNAcentral.